CACGUAGAUGGCUUUGUAAGUCGGAUGUGAAAUCCCCGGGCUCAACCUGGGAACUGCAUUCGAAACUGCAUUGCUCGAAUGUGGAAGAGGGAAGCGGAAUUCCAGGUGUAGCGGUGAAAUGCGUAGAUAUCUGGAGGAACAUCAGUGGCGAAGGCGGCUUCCUGGUCCAACAUUGACAUUCAGGUGCGAAAGCGUGGGGAGCAAACAGGAUUAGAUACCCUGGUAGUCCACGCCAUAAACGAUGAGAACUAGAUGUCGGGAGGGUUAGCCUUCCGGUGUCGCAGCUAACGCGUUAAGUUCUCCGCCUGGGGAGUACGGCCGCAAGGUUGAA
RNAcentral lists this ribosomal RNA (331 nucleotides) under uncultured bacterium. RNAcentral describes it as "bacterial SSU rRNA". It matches the Rfam family "Bacterial small subunit ribosomal RNA", at positions 568 to 898 of the family's 1533-position model. The record is from RNAcentral.